ACAGAAAAUAACUUCAUUCUGCAAUUGAAAGAAUCACAGCAAGCUCUCAUUGUAUCAAGGCAAACUGGCGGUCAUACUCUUCUCUAAAUGAGCCAACACUCCCUAGGAGACCUCAGUAGAACUCCCUCUUCUCUGCUGGAAAGGUUUUGCCUCCCCAGGACCCAUCCCUCACCAUCCAUGCAUGACAUUCUGGCCUCAAGUAUCCACUCCUCAAAGGAAAAGAAAUUGGAGAGAUUCGCCUUGAAAAUAAGCCUUCAUAUUAGUGACUUCCUUCUUUUAAAGGACAUCGAACAAGUUUUAUCCUCUUAUCGAUGAGUGGAACCUCUUUCUCCAUAACUUGAAUCUGCACUGGCCAUCUGGCUUGCUUUGGCCUAAAGAAUGUGGGCCAUUUCUGAGUCCAGGCUUCAAGAGGACUUUGCAUUUCCUUUUUCUCUCUUGACACACUGUUGAAGUAUAAUGUAAAUGAGCCAGGGCACUCUUAGAAGGUGAGAUACGUAGUUCAAUGGUUCUCAUUGCUCUAGGUGAUAUCCAGCUAACCCCCAGAAGCAGAGCAACUUGAACAAGUUGCGGCUGACCACUGAUCCUCAUGGAGUCAGCUUCAAUUAGAAGAAUUGCUCAACUGAGUGUGGUCUAAAUGAUCUAUUUCUAAAUUAUGAACACAAUAAAUGCUUAUUGUUUUAAGCCACUGAGAAUUAAGGUGACUUGUUAUGCAGUAACAGAUAAUUGAUAGACUGUUCAUGAGUUCUGUGUCUCUGAAGAGUUUAUGUUGUUUGCCUUUGUAAUACCUAACAUGAUGUGUUAAGAGUACUCACUCAAUAAUAAAUUAUUUAGUUAACUGAAAUGUUUCCAUAGCAAUAAGAAUAGGCAGUUGGUCAUUUGAUGAUUUAGUAUGAUCCAAAUAAUCCCUAUGAAUAAUCAAUCCAUUCUAUACCAUAUUAAGUAAUCUGAACAUUUAAUAGGAAUAUUGAUAUAUAGAAAAGGCUGAAUCUCAAGGUAGGAUGGACUGUUUCCACAAAAUUUUGAUAUUGGUUUGAACACCCAUACUCUAAUACCUGCAGUUAUAACAGAUGUUAAUCAUACAAGAAAAAUUAGAUUAAGUGUUUUCUCCCCAUUUUAAUGGUCUCUUUUAAUGGUCCCAGCACAGCUUAAAUUUCUGGAGUUCACUAGCAUCUCUAUAGUAGUCAAAUGACAGAAAUAUGGCAGCCUUGUUCAUCAAAAGUGUAGUCCUCAGACCAGAAAGAACAGUGUCACUUCUGAGCUUUAUGGAAAUACAAAAUCUGAUCUGGGGCUAGCUGAAGAAUGAAGGAAUUAGCCAGACUGAGGGAGAGUCCUUGGGAGGAUUGAUUCUAGUCUGCAGUCACUUUCUGUUCUUGUUGGAAUGUACUAUAUGGCACAGAGAUGGACAUUAUGGGCUAUUGUGACCAUGUGAUCAAACAAGUUACAAUUACAAUGGAAUCAUUGGGCCCCUGCAGUUUCUGUAUUUAUAAAACCAUGCCAUUAAAGGGCCUUAAAUGACAUUUUUCUGAACUCAUAGUUCAAUGGAAGUCAUUUUUUUCUGAAACAUGCCUCUCAUACCUGGUACACAUCAACUUUAAAAAAUCAAAAGGCGGGGAAAUCUCCCUUAUUCUCGUCUAGGGUGAAAAUGAUCUGUUCUUCCACUCUUCUCCUUAGGAAAUGGCAACUUAAUCCUUUUUCAGACAGCUAUCUUCCCCUAGGAAGCUCUCUUUUUGUGCUCUCAGCUUCAAUUACUUCGAUUUGCAUUUGCCAUGUUGUUCUAGAGAUGGGGGAAAAUGCUUUCUGCAAAUGUUAGAGUUUAUUUUUACCAAGAGAGCAUAAACCAGAGUUGGACUUGAAAAUAAAAGGGAGUUUAUCUUAUGUACUCUCUGACAAUAAAAGACUCAAUAGAAUUUUCUCUUUCAAAAAUAAAAAAGAGCUUUAUUUCAUGUUUGUUGGUCGCAUAAAUGUGUUCUUUUAAGAAGUGUCUUUUCAUAUACUUUGCCCACUGUUUUUAGGGGGUUGUUUGUGCUUUUCUUGUAAAUUUGUUUAAGUUCCUUGUAGGUUCUGGAUAUUAGCCCU
Molecule: long non-coding RNA, 2076 nt
Filed under: Homo sapiens (human)
Lineage: Eukaryota; Metazoa; Chordata; Mammalia; Primates; Hominidae
Description: HSALNT0301937
Source: RNAcentral